RNAcentral lists this long non-coding RNA (214 nucleotides) under Homo sapiens (human). RNAcentral's name for it is "HSALNT0125508". Lineage: Eukaryota; Metazoa; Chordata; Mammalia; Primates; Hominidae. The record is from RNAcentral.
UGUGUGUGUGUAUGCAUCUGUGUGUGUAUGUGAAUGUGUAUUUGGGCUUCAUCUGCAAUAGCAACUUAAGCUCAGAAUAAGUGAAUGGGUUGUCAAGGUGGACAUUAGCAGUGAGAGACCAAGAGUCUGGACAACAGGGAUUCAGUGAUUGGGCUAGAAGACCCAGUCAUGAAGGUCAUAGUGUGAAAACUUCCAUUUGGAAAUCUGGGAGCAG